This 264-nucleotide ribosomal RNA is filed under the name uncultured bacterium. RNAcentral describes it as "partial 16S ribosomal RNA". It matches the Rfam family "Bacterial small subunit ribosomal RNA", at positions 793 to 1055 of the family's 1533-position model. The record is from RNAcentral.
GUCCACGCCGUAAACGAUGGGUACUAGGUGUCUGGGGGAGCGACCCCCUGGGUGCCGUCGCUAACGCAUGAAGUACCCGCCUGGGGAGUACGGCCGCAAGGCUGAAACUCAAAGGAAUUGACGGGGGCCCGCACAAGCGGUGGAGCAUGUGGUUUAAUUCGACGCAACGCGAAGAACCUUACCUAGGCUUGACAUGCUGGAGAAAGCUCGCAGAAACGUGAGCCCCUCUUCGGAGUUCCAGCACAGAUGCUGCAUGGCUGUCGU